GGAAAUAAUCAUUGAGGCAUUUGGAUUUUUUAAUUUGAGAUAUUCAACUGGUAAGUGUAAUGGAAAUAUUACAAAAUCUGAAAUAUUUCAGGUCCCAAGUAUUUGGGACCUGAUAAAGGAUAUUCAGCCUCUAGUUUAAAUUUUAGAAACUUAUUUUUUGUUUUUAUGGUCUUAGGAUAAUUAAAAGGGAGCCAGAAGAUGUUUGCACCUGGGAGUGUCAGAAGUGAUUUUAGAAUAUAUUAAUAACUUAUAUUGGAAUGGUCUUUGGUGGAGAUUAUAUUUUCACGUGGACAAACUUCAUUGGUUUAAAUAUCAGCAUUGCUGGGAGCCUGGUAUAUUCCUAUAUCACUUUCACUGAAGAGCAGCUGAGCAAACAGUCAGAGGCUAAUAACAAGCUGGACAUUAAGGGGAAAGGAGCAGUGUGACCAGAGGAUUGCUUCAUCUGAUACGUAGGCCUAAGUUUUUAAUCAACUCAGAACACUGGCAGUUCCUACAGAGACACUGAGGUGUCUUGAUUAUGGAGGAAAUAACCAUUCCUUUGCACUUGUACAAUCUGAGGAUUGAUUGCUGCCUUUUAAAAUUUUAUGAAGAGAGAAACUUAUAAUUGACUCUAUUUUAAAUAUGUUGUUUGAAUUAAUUUAUAUCAGACUGGAAAAGGUACUGGGCUUUUUAAUUUAUUUUUCUUAUAUGCCGACAGUGAAACAUCAGUGUUUUGAAAGUAUUUUAUUUCAUAAUUUGAUAUCCAGGUGUCCCUGAGAGCUGCAUAUGUAAUGUUUGCCAACUGGAGCUUCAUCAUUCAAAUUGUUGCUGCAUCUGGAGGCAGUUUAGCCUUUCCUCUGCUGGAAAUGCAGACGAAUAUGUGAAAUUUCUCUUCUUUGAAUCUUAUUUCUUAUGAUUGCAUUGUCUUCAUCAUAUCAUCAUUCCAUUUGCCAAGGAAAACAACUUUGGCACUAUAAAAAUAUGUGGGGCUUUGAAGUGUAUUGCUAUCUAUGUUGGCUUCCCUGACUUUCAUAGGAUGAGCAGAGUGCAUUCCUUGAAAACAUGUUCUUUUUUUGUUGUGUAGAAUGGGGAUAAUGAAGGGGGUGAGAAAGUAGGCCUUUUACUAAUUUUUCAUCUAUUUGACUUAUUGAUUCAACUAAAAUGUUUUAAGUAUAUGUGCCAGGCAUUGUGCUAAAUGCUGGGGAUACAGAGAUGUUUGCAGAGGUAGUUGAAACAUCUCACUCCUGCCAUAGUGACUCAGGUAAGGUUGAGAAUUUAGCUCUGUUAAUCUAUUCAGAAGAUGUCACUAAGAGUAAGUUGUUUCAGCACUCAAAAGCCGCAAAUCUGUAAAUUGGAUUAAGAACACCUGCCCUACCUACCCGGCAAUAGUGUGAAUCCAAAUGCUGCAAUGUGAGAUGAGGUACAAGUAAAGAGCUGUGUUUUGUAAACCAGUGCAGCUCAGCAUUGACUCCCUCUCUAAGUGAAAAUUGCAGACAGGCAAGUCUGUUUUCCCUUGCCACCUUCCUUUGGGUUUGGUUGCUCUUUGGAUGAAUAUGAUGAGGUCCCACAUUUCUGAAUUUAUUGGUUUGAGGGGAAAGGCUGGUUAGACGUCUUUGUAUUGUCAAUGGUUGGUUUUUCUCUGGCAGUGUCAGUGUUAGAGCUAUCAUCUUCCUUCUUAAAUGGCAUGAGCAAUGAGCAAACUUCCCUCCUUUCAACAUUCUCACCUACAUCAUGUGCCCCUUGGCUCACCUACUGAGCUUGCCAACUUCUCUCAAAACCAAUGCUGCAUUUUGGGAGAGCAGCUGUGAAUGGGCACUGCCUAAAUUGCCUCUUGGGGUAAUCUGGAGGGUGGAGGUGUUAACUCAAACAUAACCCUAUGACUUGACUCAGAGAUAUCCAUUGACUUUGAGGAUUAGUGUGUUUGCUCAGGCCAGUUGUACAGCCAGUGUGCAAGAGAUUUGGUACCUUUGCACUAAUGCACACACCAGUGUCUAUUUCAUUGGGUUUGGAAUCCACUGGACUCUGUUGACCUAAACAGUUAGGGUUUUGAUUUUUUUUGAUAUGCAAAUUUAUAUUGAGAUCAUUUUCAUAUUCCUGUCUUUUGGUUUGUCUUUACUAAAGCUUGGCUGGUGGUGCUGUGUCCCUAGAAUUAUCCCUGCAACCAACUCCCAAGUUACAAGCUUCAUUAAGAGCCUUAGACUCACUUUUUUCUAGCAUCUUCUGACCUGAGAAAAUUCCACUGGGAGUAAAGGAUAGUAUCUUGUGUCAUAUGGGUCUUACUCUCCCUAUUUUACCAAUGAGAAAACAAAACUCAGAGAAAGAUGACUUGCUAAUACAUCAAACCCAUGUCCUUUUUAUUGAACUAUGCUGCCAUUUAAUUAACCGCCCUUCCCCUCUGAGGGAGUAAGGAAACAGAUCCUGAGUUCACUUGAGCACUUUCAAAAAAGCAAGCAGUUGAUUGAAUUUGGUGUCAGAGAGGAGCAUACUUUGCAAAUCAGGAAGAGUGACAGCUUACCCUGUCCUGGAACCCUUAUCCCACUUCCAGGCUGACUUUAGUUGAUAAUGCACUUCUGGCUGUAAAUGUUGCCAACACUUCCUGGUUUUGCUUAGGUACAGUGAAAGGGCAUAGUGAGAGCUAUUUUUAGUGAUUCUGUUCUUUCUGUCAGCAACAUGAAGGAGGGACGUUUGAAUAAUUUUUGUUGUAGAAUAUUUCUUCAUGAAAGGCUUUUGGGUGUCUUUAACAGGUGUUGGGCUAGAGCCCCACCAGGAGUUGAACUGCCUCUUGGGGGUCAGGUUCCCUAGGAGAUCUGUCACCUCUUCAGGAGUAUUUGAGAACAUUGUGUAGUUACAGCUUCACUAAAUGCACGUGACAGGCUUCUGUGCCUUGGGAGCCCUGGCUUAUGCUGAAACUUCUGGCUGACCAGAGCAGUACAGCAACUUUGCCCUGUCUGUGUUCUGCUUCCUGGAUGCAUCCUUCAGCCACUAACCAGCAUUGCAAGAUGGAGCAGGGUGAACAAGCUGGAGACUGAAUAGUCUUUUGGAGUUUGCGUUUUGAUUAUUGCAGGCGUGUUACAAUAUACUGGUGAUUUACCUGGUACUGUGGCACCUCCCAGAAAGUCUGGUUUUUGCCCCAUGUUUGAUAUUUACUAGGCAGAAAUUCUUUGUCCUGUUAACUGCCUCCUGGGAGAAAAAGAGGCAAUACAGAGUUAAAUCCUUAAUUUGCCCACUGAGACAGAUGAGCUGUGGUAUUCCAAAAGACAAAUUCUAUGACUAGUGUCUCCUGUUCAAUGUAAGUGAGACCCUCUUUGGCCAAUCUGCUUCUAGUCAAGGCUAAAUGGAUUGGAAUAACCCUAGUUGGCCAGGCUACACAUUGCCAGCAUGUCCCGUUGAGUUUUAAUUGCCUCAUGUGGCUGUGGACUUUAUGAGUCAAUCAUUUGUAGGCUCCAGUUUGCACCUAGUUUUUUUUUUUAAAAAGUGCAUUUACACGCUUUUGGUAGUCCUGUUUUAUCAAGAAUCCAUGGAGGGUUUUGGUCAGUACAGCUGGUGCAGGAUCCUCACGGAGAAACAGUGGAGUUUCACAUUGAGUUGGUUUGAAAUGGCACCCCAGGACUUUGGGCCUGCCUUACUUGAUAGCCUCGUUCAGUGAGCAAAGACUUAGUGAGCAGCUCUUGUAUGCCAAGUAUUUUGCUAAGCUCUGGAAAAAAGAUAAACAAGACAUGGUUCUUGCUUUCAAGGAGUGUGUAAUUCUUUAGCCAGAUAUGGAAACCUGGACCCUGAGUGGGAGAAAGGAGACAGAUGAAAGGAGUCCGUGAUUUUGUAACCAAGAGCUGCCUGCAUGGUUAUGAGUAUCACUGAUUUUAGGGACGCCCCACAGAGCUAAAGCAUUUUUUUAAUCCGAGAGGACUUUUGUAACUCAUAUUAGUUAAUCUUCUAGCUCUGAGAUAGCAACACAGCUCUUAGAAUUCUGUAAGUAGCUUGAGGCCUCCUCCUCUACUGUACAUGUUCUUGCUUUCCCAAAAUUGUAAGUUUGGUUUUUCCUAUGAACAAGACUGUAAUUGAUUUUUCUCUCCCUGAGGAAAAAAGUUCGGAAUAAAUGAGACAUGGAUAUGAAACUACUUAGCACAAUGCCUGGUACAUAUUAGGCCCUCAGCAAAUGUGGCUACCGUGUCAUUAUUUCAUGGUGAGACUCAAGGCAAAACAAGAUUCUUAAUUUAUGCUCCGUAAAUGCUAGAGGCUUGGGCAAUACGGUCUGUCCUGAAAAACAGGACUCUGUGUCUCAUUGCCUCUAGAAUCCUUAGGUAGCAGUUUCUGUUCACUGUCUUUUCUUUUUUAAAAAUAUCUGCUGGACACAAUUACGGCCAUUACAUGAUGCAGGUGAUUCUACCUAUUUUUUAAAAAGAACAAAAUUUCUUUUAUAUUGUGACAGUACAUUUUAAUAAAGGAAAAUUAUUUUCUUCCCCCUACUCCCCCUCCUUUUUUUUAAAAAAAAAAAAAAAAAAGAAAGAAGGUCUUGCUCUGUCGCCAGCCAGGCUGGAGUGUAAUGGCGUAAUCAUAGCAGCUCACCACAGUCUCAAACUCCUAGGCUCAAGUGAUCCUCCUGCCUUAGCCUGCUAAGUAGCUACGACUAUAGGCAUGUGCCAUUACGCCUGGCUCGUUUCUUCCUUUUUUUUUUUUUUUCUGGUAAAGACAGGGUCUCACUCUGUUGCCAGACUGGUCUCAAACUCCUGGCCUCAAGUAACCCUUCUGUCUCAGCCUCCCAAAGUGCUGGGAUUACAGGUGUGUGCCACAUGUCCGGCCAGGAAAAUUAUUUUCUAUCUUAAAGAAACAUAGUUACAUUUUAGAAUGUCAAUUCAGUUAAAUCUUUCUCAGUUUUUACCUUUAGAUGGCUCCUGGAAAGGCCAGCGUUCCUUUUCCCCUCUCUGAAUUGAAAGCACUUGACCCCAUGCUGCCCCUGCUUCCAGGCCUGUCUCAGUUGUCAUAUAUUGUGAGUCCCUGGCACCAUUACUGUUUUCUAAGCCAGUCUUCUAGGUCUUACUUUCAGGAUGCUGCUUCAUGGCAUGAGGAUAUAGUUUACAGUGUUGUAGUUUUUUUUUUUUUAAAGCUUUGUUCUUUAAAAAUACUUUUUAAAAAGAAAUCUACUGGUUAGAUUUAUUGUCUCACAAAAAUGUUUUUAGAGAUUAUUUUUUUCACAAAUGUUUUCUUUCUCAUGCUGAUGAUCAACUGAUUUUUGUCUACAGGUGUUAGCUUCUCACAGUAUUUUUUCAUUUUAGAGUCUAUUUACCAAAUGACCAUUUUUAGUGUUAAAAGGUACUGAGGAAUUGAGGUAUGUAAAUCAGGUGACAUAAACAUGAAAAUUAUGUGCCUAAAUAUUUUUGUAAUGGUGUAAAAUAAAUACUUUUUCCUGAAAACAAGUAUUAAAAUUCCUUUGUAACUGCAUACAGA
Molecule: long non-coding RNA, 5421 nt
Filed under: Homo sapiens (human)
Lineage: Eukaryota; Metazoa; Chordata; Mammalia; Primates; Hominidae
Description: HSALNT0008417
Source: RNAcentral